Molecule: non-coding RNA, 219 nt
Organism: Gossypium hirsutum (cotton)
Lineage: Eukaryota; Viridiplantae; Streptophyta; Magnoliopsida; Malvales; Malvaceae
Source: Rfam
ACAACCUUACGUGAACAGGAUCUUUUCUAUAGGCUCGUACCUCUUUGUCCUUAAGCUCGAAGAAGACAGGUUUCCAAGUCUCGUUGAUGAACCACGACUGUGUGAUCUGAGCGUGAUUAUUGGUCUUGUGGUUUCCACACUGGUUUCACUUCGACCGCAAAGGAUCGUUCCAAGCUUGCCUUGUGCGGCUGGAAAGGUCACACAGUUGUCUGACAGAUU